CACCCCAGGUCAUGAGGUGGAGAAGGCGAGGCUGUGUGGGUGGGGGUGAGGGGGUGAGAGAAACGUGAGUGGUCCCCAUGUCCAGUGCCGUAGAUCAGUCAGUCAUUCGACAAACAUCUGCUCAGCGCUCACCACGAGGCCAGACCCUGUGCUCGGGCUGGGUCCUUGGGUGGAGGUGUGGUCCCAGCUGGACGGGCGUGGAUGGGAUCCCAGCUCUGCCUCUCACCAGCUGUGUGGCCCGGUCCGUCACUCCCUUCUCUGUGUCUCAGUCUUCUCAUCUGUGAAGUGGGCAUGGCCACCCCCUCCCGCUGAGUCACGGAGGUGGCUCAUUGAGGUCAUACAGGCAGAGUCUGGCCUCAAGGAAGAGGAGCUCCGUAAGUGAUGCUGCGACCACUGCUGUCAUCGCUGGCUUAGGCCCCUGGGAGCCCCAGCGCAGAGGGCAGGUAGGACACGCCCACAGGAGCUGCUGUUUGAGACGGAGAGUCACGGGCAGCCCGGGAGUGGGAGAACAGUGACCGGAGGGUGAGGACGUGUCCAGCCAGGGGGCCUGGACAGCUUCUGGGCAUGGCUGGUUCCUGAGCUGGGUUUCGAAGGAGGGAGGUUUUCAUCAGAUAGAAGCAGGGCUGAGAGCACUGCAGGCAGAAGGACCGGCAUGAGCAGGGCCCGGAGGUGGGAGGUAGUCGGCACGUCGCAGGAACAGCCCGUUCAGCGGGCAGGUCAGAACACGCCGGGCAAUUGUGGGAAAGCUGGUCCUGGAGGCCUCGAAGGCUGAGCUCAAGCAUCCGAAGUCACCUGCUUGAGACAGUGGGUUGCCUGGGACCUGGGCGCCCAGCCCCACUCCUCCCACCCCCUGGCCACGGAAAACUUGAGUCUCCAUUCGGAACUGUUGGCGCCUGGAGCCAGGGAGCCACACGCAGGCGGAUCCGCUGAGGAUGCGAGAGGGGGCCUCCAUUCCUCAGAGCCCCGCGAAGGCGUCCCCCAGCCCCAGCCUCUCCCAGGGCUCCAGGCCGCGGGCACAGUGGGGCGAGCCCGGAGUCCAGAGCCCUGCAGACCUGGCUCCAGUCCAGCCUCAGGGCCUACAGAGGCUCAGCCUCGCCUCCCCAUCUGCGGAGGGGCGGGGGGCAAGGGUGCUCCGAGAGCCGGCCGGCUGGGACCGGGAAAGGGAGCCAGCUGCAGGGGAGGCGAAGGCCCCGCUCCCUGCUGGCAAGUGUGCACGCUGUGUGCUAUUCCUAGUCCUCGCUCUCCCCUCAAGCUGGGGCUUUUUGGUGCGAAUGAUCCCACAGGACACCGCCCUGGACGGUGGCUGCCCCAUUUGGAGACGCCAGGCCCAAGCUAACCAUGGAAAAAACCGCCCCCAGCCUUCCUGCCAUGUGCUUCUGCAGCCAAAAAUAUUUUUAUAGUAAUAUCCAUCUAUUUACAACCU
This 1423-nucleotide long non-coding RNA is filed under the name Sus scrofa (pig). Its description in RNAcentral is "lncRNA (ENSSSCG00005021796.1)". Lineage: Eukaryota; Metazoa; Chordata; Mammalia; Artiodactyla; Suidae. The record is from RNAcentral.